GAUAUCCGGCCUGUCCUCGUGAACGGACACACUGGAACUGAGACACGGUCCAGACUCCUACGGGAGGCAGCAGUAGGGAAUAUUGCUCAAUGGGGGAAACCCUGAAGCAGCAACGCCGCGUGGAGGAUGAAGGUUUUAGGAUUGUAAACUCCUUUUGUUAGAGAAGAUAAUGACGGUAUCUAACGAAUAAGCACCGGCUAACUCCGUGCCAGCAGCCGCGGUAAUACGGAGGGUGCAAGCGUUACUCGGAAUCACUGGGCGUAAAGAGCGCGUAGGCGGGAUAGUCAGUCAGGUGUGAAAUCCUAUGGCUUAACCAUAGAACUGCAUUUGAAACUACUAUUCUAGAGUGUGGGAGAGGUAGGUGGAAUUCUUGGUGUAGGGUAAAAUCCGUAGAGAUCAAGAGGAAUACUCAUUGCGAAGGCGACCUGCUGGAACAUUACUGACGCUGAUUGCCUU
This 456-nucleotide ribosomal RNA is filed under the name Helicobacter pylori. RNAcentral describes it as "bacterial SSU rRNA". It matches the Rfam family "Bacterial small subunit ribosomal RNA", at positions 282 to 755 of the family's 1533-position model. The record is from RNAcentral. Lineage: Bacteria; Pseudomonadati; Campylobacterota; Epsilonproteobacteria; Campylobacterales; Helicobacteraceae.